CCCUGAUGGAGAAACAAUUCUUGUGCGCGAGCGAGGCUAUGAGCGCACAUUUUGAGCCAAGAAAACAAAACUCAACAGGUCUGAGAC
Molecule: small nucleolar RNA, 87 nt
Filed under: Leishmania donovani
Lineage: Eukaryota; Euglenozoa; Kinetoplastea; Trypanosomatida; Trypanosomatidae
Description: C/D box snoRNA LD27Cs1C3
Source: RNAcentral